RNAcentral lists this ribosomal RNA (491 nucleotides) under uncultured bacterium. Its description in RNAcentral is "partial 16S ribosomal RNA". It matches the Rfam family "Bacterial small subunit ribosomal RNA", at positions 29 to 507 of the family's 1533-position model. The record is from RNAcentral.
GUGAACGCUGGCGGUAGGCCUAACACAUGCAAGUCGAACGGCAGCACAGUAAGCGCUUGCUCUUACGGGUGGCGAGUGGCGGACGGGUGAGGAAUACAUCGGAAUCUACUUUUUCGUGGGGGAUAACGUAGGGAAACUUACGCUAAUACCGCAUACGACCUACGGGUGAAAGCAGGGGAUCUUCGGACCUUGCGCGAUUGAAUGAGCCGAUGUCGGAUUAGCUAGUUGGCGGGGUAAAGGCCCACCAAGGCGACGAUCCGUAGCUGGUCUGAGAGGAUGAUCAGCCACACUGGAACUGAGACACGGUCCAGACUCCUACGGGAGGCAGCAGUGGGGAGUAUUGGACAAUGGGCGCAAGCCUGAUCCAGCCAUACCGCGUGGGUGAAGAAGGCCUUCGGGUUGUAAAGCCCUUUUGUUGGGAAAGAAAAGCAGCAGGUUAAUACCCCGCUGUUCUGACGGUACCCAAAGAAUAAGCACCGGCUAACUUCGUG